UCUCAGAGAGUUUGAUCAUGGCUCAGGAUGAACGCUGGCGGCGUGCUUAACACAUGCAAGUCGAACGUGAUCCAUUAGCAAUAGUGGUGAAAGUGGCGAACGGGUGAGUAACACGUAGAUAACCUACCCUGAAGCGGGGGAUAACGAUUGGAAACGGUCGCUAAUACCGCAUGAGCCUAUUGAAGCGGGAGUGAGAUAGGGAAAAUUCAGGUGCUUUAGGCGGGGUCUGCGUCCGAUUAGCUAGUUGGUGAGGUAACGGCUCACCAAGGCGACGAUCGGUAGCUGGUCUGAGAGGACGAUCAGCCACACGGGAACUGAGACACGGUCCCGACUCCUACGGGGGGCAGCAGUGAGGAAUAUUGGGCAAUGGGCGGAAGCCUGACCAGCAACGCCGCGUGGAGGAUGAAGGCCUUCGGGUCGUAAACUCCUUUUGACGGGGAAGAGGAAGGACGGUACCCGUCGAAUAAGUCACGGCUAACUACGUG
This 485-nucleotide ribosomal RNA is filed under the name uncultured bacterium. RNAcentral describes it as "bacterial SSU rRNA". It matches the Rfam family "Bacterial small subunit ribosomal RNA", at positions 1 to 507 of the family's 1533-position model. The record is from RNAcentral.